Molecule: ribosomal RNA, 492 nt
Filed under: uncultured bacterium
Lineage: Bacteria
Description: partial 16S ribosomal RNA
Rfam family: Bacterial small subunit ribosomal RNA
Source: RNAcentral
AGUGAACGCUGGCGGUAGGCCUAACACAUGCAAGUCGAACGGCAGCACAGUAAGAUCUUGCUCUUACGGGUGGCGAGUGGCGGACGGGUGAGGAAUACAUCGGAAUCUACUUUUUCGUGGGGGAUAACGUAGGGAAACUUACGCUAAUACCGCAUACGACCUACGGGUGAAAGCAGGGGAUCUUCGGACCUUGCGCGAUUGAAUGAGCCGAUGUCGGAUUAGCUAGUUGGCGGGGUAAAGGCCCACCAAGGCGACGAUCCGUAGCUGGUCUGAGAGGAUGAUCAGCCACACUGGAACUGAGAAACGGUCCAGACUCCUACGGGAGGCAGCAGUGGGGAAUAUUGGACAAUGGGCGCAAGCCUGAUCCAGCCAUACCGCGUGGGUGAAGAAGGCCUUCGGGUUGUAAAGCCCUUUUGUUGGGAAAGAAAAGCAGCAGGUUAAUACCCCGAUGUUCUGACGGUACCCAAAGAAUAAGCACCGGCUAACUUCGUG